AUCGGAAUGGGUGCAAUCUAAACCCUUGCACGAGUAUCUAUGAGAGGGCAAGUCUGGUGCCAGCAGCCGCGGUAAUUCCAGCUCUCAGAAUGCAUAGAACCAUUGCUGCGGUUAAAAAGCUCGUAGUUGGAUUUGGGCGCGGGCCUCGGACCUCGCUUCGGYGUUGCUCUGGGUGUCCCGUGCUUCAUGCCGGUUGGUCCCUUGGCUUUAGGGUCUUGGGGCGGCUGGCGAGUUUACUUUGAACAAAUCAGAGUGCUCAAGACAGGCUCAACGCCUGAAUGCUCGUGCAUGGAAUAAUAGARGAGGAUCUCGGUCCGAUUUUGUUGGUUUUGCGGCCGAGGUAAUGAUCAAUAGGGGCGGACGGGGGCAUUCGUACUUCUGCGUGAGAGGUGAAAUUUUUGGACCGCAGGAAGACGCACUACAGCGAAGGCAGUUGCCAAGCACGUCCCCGUUAAUCAAGGACGAAAGUUAGAGGUUCGAAGGCGAUCAGAUACCGCCCUAGUUCUGACCGUAAACGAUGCCAACUAGCGAUCCGCCGGCGGAUUUCUCGCCCUGGUGGGGAGCUUCCCGGAAACGAAAGUCUUCCGGUUCCGGGGGAAGUAUGGUUGCAAAGCUGAAACUUAAAGGAAUUGACGGAAGGGCACCACCAGGAGUGGAGCCUGCGGCUUAAUUUGACUCAACACGGGGAAACUCACCCGGGCCGGACACCGCGAGGAUUGACAGAUCGAGAGCUCUUUCUUGAUUCGGUGGAUGGUGGUGCAUGGCCGUUCUUAGUUCGUGGAGCGAUUUGUCUGGUUUAUUCCGAUAACGAGCGAGACUCUAGCCUGCUAAAUAGUGGAGCCAUUGCCUUGUGGCCGCCGCUUCUUAGAGGGAUUGGCGGCUCCCAGCCGCACGAAACUGAGCAAUAACAGGUCUGUGAUGCCCUUAGAUGUCCGGGGCUGCACGCGCGCUACACUGGCGAAGGCAGCGUGCCUGUCCUGCCGCGAAGGCGGUGGGUAAACCAUUGAAAAUUCGCCGUGAUUGGGAUCGGAGAUUGCAAUUAUUCUCCGUGAACGAGGAAUUCCAAGUAAGUGCGAGUCAUCAGCUCGCGUUGAUUACGUCCCUGCCCUUUGUACACACCGCCCGUCGCUGCCCGGGACUGAGCCAUUUCGAGAAAUUUGGGGAUCGGCGGACGGCGCCCGCAAGGGCGCCCCCGCUGCCAACCAACUUAAUCGCAGUGGCUUGAACCGGGCAAAAGUCGUAACAA
Molecule: ribosomal RNA, 1246 nt
Filed under: Malenchus sexlineatus
Lineage: Eukaryota; Metazoa; Nematoda; Chromadorea; Rhabditida; Tylenchidae
Description: SSU rRNA
Rfam family: Eukaryotic small subunit ribosomal RNA
Source: RNAcentral